This 970-nucleotide ribosomal RNA is filed under the name uncultured bacterium. RNAcentral describes it as "bacterial SSU rRNA". It matches the Rfam family "Bacterial small subunit ribosomal RNA", at positions 52 to 1028 of the family's 1533-position model. The record is from RNAcentral.
UAAAUGCAAGUCGAACGGAAAGGCCCUGCUUUUGUGGGGUGCUCGAGUGGCGAACGGGUGAGUAACACGUGAGUAACCUGCCCUUGACUUUGGGAUAACUUCAGGAAACUGGGGCUAAUACCGGAUAGGAGCUCCUGCUGCAUGGUGGGGGUUGGAAAGUUUCGGCGGUUGGGGAUGGACUCGCGGCUUAUCGGCUUGUUGGUGGGGUAGUGGCUUACCAAGGCUUUGACGGGUAGCCGGCCUGAGAGGGUGACCGGCCACAUUGGGACUGAGAUACGGCCCAGACUCCUACGGGAGGCAGCAGUGGGGAAUAUUGCACAAUGGGCGGAAGCCUGAUGCAGCAACGCCGCGUGCGGGAUGACGGCCUUCGGGUUGUAAACCGCUUUCGCCUGUGACGAAGCGUGAGUGACGGUAAUGGGUAAAGAAGCACCGGCUAACUACGUGCCAGCAGCCGCGGUGAUACGUAGGGUGCGAGCGUUGUCCGGAUUUAUUGGGCGUAAAGGGCUCGUAGGUGGUUGAUCGCGUCGGAAGUGUAAUCUUGGGGCUUAACCCUGAGCGUGCUUUCGAUACGGGUUGACUUGAGGAAGGUAGGGGAGAAUGGAAUUCCUGGUGGAGCGGUGGAAUGCGCAGAUAUCAGGAGGAACACCAGUGGCGAAGGCGGUUCUCUGGGCCUUUCCUGACGCUGAGGAGCGAAAGCGUGGGGAGCGAACAGGCUUAGAUACCCUGGUAGUCCACGCUGUAAACGGUGGGUACUAGGUGUGGGGUCCAUUCCACGGGUUCCGCGCCGUAGCUAACGCUUUAAGUACCCCGCCUGGGGAGUACGGCCGCAAGGCUAAAACUCAAAGGAAUUGACGGGGCCCCGCACAAGCGGCGGAGCAUGCGGAAUUAAUUCGAUGCACCGCGUAGAACCUUACCUGGGUUUGACAUGGAUCGGGAGUGCUCAAAGAUGGGUGUGCCUCUUUUGGGGGUC